Molecule: ribosomal RNA, 253 nt
Filed under: uncultured bacterium
Lineage: Bacteria
Description: partial 16S ribosomal RNA
Rfam family: Bacterial small subunit ribosomal RNA
Source: RNAcentral
UACAGAGGGUGCGAGCGUUAAUCGGAAUUACUGGGCGUAAAGCGUGCGUAGGCGGUUGAAUAAGUCGGAUGUGAAAGCCCUGGGCUUAACCUGGGAAUUGCAUUCGAUACUGUUCAGCUAGAGUAUAGUAGAGGAAAGUGGAAUUCCACGUGUAGCGGUGAAAUGCGUAGAUAUGUGGAGGAACACCAGUGGCGAAGGCGACUUUCUGGACUAAUACUGACGCUGAGGUACGAAAGCGUGGGGAGCAAACAGG